UUUUUUUAAAAAUAUUUAUUUGUUUAUUUUUCUUGCUGUUUGUGCUCAUAGCCCUUCAGUUAGCGUAUACAGCAACUCAAAUGCCUCAAUAGACUUUGAUAUAAAAUGAUGGUGCUCCCUCCCUCUCUCAUCCUUGUAAAGCUUAAUAACUUUUUUCAUGCAAUUGUGCUCCUUCUCUGAAGCUUCCCUCUUGUAUACAAUCUUUUACAUGCAUCGAUCCACGUUCUUCACUAAGCUGUGGUGGGGUCACCCUCGGUUUCUCUUGAUAUUUGUGAAAGUUGUAACCUUUUGCAAUUGUUGGUUUGCAGGAAAGUUCGGCAUAAUUUGGGAUUGUUAGUGCCAUGGUACAUAUGUUUUUGUGGACAAAUACGGUGAAACGUUUUCAAAUUAUCUCGGGCUUUCAGCUAGUAGAGAUACAGCUAUAAUAUAUUCUCUAACAAGUAAAGGCAGCACACAUGCGCACACACUCGCAUGUGGAAACAUUCAUACAUUGCCGAGUGCCUAAGAUUGCAUUUGACUGUAUCAAGAAAAAAGAAAGACGACCGCAAUUGUAUCUAAAACUGCAUCAUUUGAAACAUUUAACUUUAAUUUGUACUCCGUGUCUCAUGUGCUUGCUCACAUGCACUAGACAACAGAUAUUGGUAAAUAAUUUUCCCGUUGCCUUCCCUGCUUGCGGAGAUUGGAUUGAACAUACAAGAAGCUGAUGCCUUUUCCACUGUUGAUGGGUUUUCUCUGGAUAUUUUUGUUUUUGAUGGUUGGCUUGGUAAGGUAUGGUCCUAUUCUUUUCACCAGUUAGAAAAAUCAAGUGUUAGGUAUUUUUGGGGUAUCAGCCAGCUGUAGUCCUGAUUUUAUUCAAUGUUUUUUUUCUUAAUUGCUUAAAAAACAGAAAAAAGAAGAAGAGGGCAGCAUUGAAGUCGUCUAAAGUAAAAGAUGCACAUCUCGUGUAAAUUUGAUUCCUUGCUCAUGUGGAUUUGAAAUGUUAUUAUUUUAUCCGGCACUCUUGGUAUAUGCAAUUCUCUUUUUAAUAGUGAGAUAAUUGCCAGACUGACAUUGUUUGCUCACUGUACUACUUGGUCAUGUGCGUGGGAACCUACUGAGGAGCUUAGAAAUGCUCUAGAAAAGGAAAUCUUAAAGUCUAAGGUAAUUUUUCUUUAUACUGCGCUUUUAUUCAUAGUUGCAGCUUUCCAUAUCUCUAAAAUAAAUCUUUUUAUGAAUGCUUGCUGGUAGAACACCCUUUGUUUUAAUUAAUAUGUGUAUCAGCCAUCUCUAGGGUGUAGGAUGUAUGAAUUGUUGAUAGUUAUGUUUGCAAAUUGAUUACUUAACUUUUUUUUUCAUCACAUUAUCAUAAAUCAUUUAAAGUUAAACUAACCUCAUGGAGGUUAUGGUUCUAUCCUCAUUCCUUUGCCAGUGUAUGUGGCAAGCCUGUUAACUUGUUGCAGCUGAAAUGAUCUUUGGGGGAAAGAGGUGACCAAAUUUUAAAGGAGAACCGUGAUGUCCAUCUAGGUUUACAGUCUUGCUAUGGUGUGUUAGUAUUUGUUUGCUAUAUCUGUGAUUUACAUCUUCUGCUUGAUAUGCUACAUGAUGAUUAAGCAACUAGGACUUAAAGGAGGUCCUUAGUAAUAUUAGCGGGCAGAACCAAUUACUGUCAAUGUUCUUCAACUUGAAACUGUAAUUUUUUUUUUAAAAUAUUUAUUUGUUUAUUUUUUUGCAGUUUGUGCUCAUAGCCAUUUAGUUAGCGUAUACAGCAACUCAAAUGCCUCAAUUAACUUGAUGUUGGUAGCAUGUUCUCUGAAUAGUUAGCCAUUCCAGUCAGAGUUGAAAUCCAAUACCUCUGGACAAUUCCCCAUACUGGAAAUGACAAAAUUCCCAAAAAAGAAGGUUUAACUUUGUGUCUUCUCUUUUUUCUUGUUUUUGAUAGAAAAAGAAGGUGCUCUUUAAAAGUCAUUAGAUUAAAAAACACCAGUAUUCAUUGGGAUAUCUAGAUUGUGGGAAUUUUAACAUGGAUUGUUGGAAUUUUAACAGGAUGCCUCAUCUUCAUUAUAUAAACUAAGUUUGCAAUACUCCACUGGAGCAGUGCUUUCCAAAACAACCUUUUGUUUCUGUUGUUUGCAAGCAGAAUAAAACGGGGGUUGAAUCUCUUCCAGAUUGUGUUGAAUUACCCAGUGAUGGAACUAAUGUCUUGGAAAUUGACACAAGUCAACUGAAAGUUGAAAACAAUGUUGCAUCUGGAUCAUAUGGUGAUUUGUAAGUUGUGUCAUUUGAAAUCUAUGUUACUUUGCUGAUUGCAAGUUACUCAGUUGAUUGUUCAUUUAACCACUUCAGGUAUUGAGGCACGUAUUGUAGUCAGGAAGUGGCCAUCAAAGUGCUAAAGCCUGAGCGUGUCAGUGGAGAAAUGCUUAGGGAGUUCUACCAGGAAGUUUAUAUAAUGAGGUCUGUAAGAAUAUAUGCUUGAAAGAUCUCAAGACACCAUUUCUAAAACGUUUUGUUUGUAUACUCCUUAAUUAGAUGUUUCUUUUUUCUUCGAUCAUUUGAAACAAAAUAAGCAAGUGAAAGUCUAUUUCUAGUUGAUCUGGAACGAUUAGGAGAUUUGCUAGAAGAAAUAUGGGGUAGGUAUUGGUGGGGCUUGCAUAAUGUAGUUGUGGUUAGAUGAAACUAAAGGGAUCAAAGAAUUACAUAAAAAUGUACGAAAGAACUUAAUUGUAUGAACAAAAAACUCAACAUUUCUAAUCAAGAAUUGAAAACCUUUACAUGCAAAUAUUUGUGAUAUUAUUUCUCCAAAAUAAUAAUUUAUUAAAAUAAAAAAGCCUCCUAUUAUUAUCAAGAUAGGGGAAUAAGAACUUACUGAUAAAAAAAUCAAUACCUGGCCACUUCUCUAUGAUACCAGUUGUUGCUUCAUUGAAUUUGCGGACUUGGAAAGUUUCUGUUUUCCAAUAGAAAUGCUAGCCUACAUAUUUAUCAAGCUAUAUAUACAAGAUCGUAAAUACAAAAUAUAAGACUAAAGAACUAAAACCUUUCUACUCAUGAGUAUCUGCAAUGCCUUUUCAAGUAGAAAGCUUUUAUAUGCACAUUGAAGUUGCUUCUAUUGAGAAUAGUGUUAAUGCAUAAUUUGUAAUUUCCAUAAACCUUUAUAUAAAAUGAUGGUGCUCCCUCCCUCUGUCAUCCAUGUAAAGCUUAAUAACUUUUUACAUGCAAUUGUCCAGCUUCUCUCUUGUAUACAAUCUUUUACAUGCAUCGAUCCACCUUCUUCACUAAGCUGUGGUGGGGUAACCCUCGGUUUCUCUUGAUAUUUGUGAAAGUUGUAACCUUUUGCAAUUGUUGGUUUGCAGGAAAGUUCGGC
This 3337-nucleotide long non-coding RNA is filed under the name Populus tremula. Its description in RNAcentral is "long non-coding RNA (PTRE_LNC002684)". Lineage: Eukaryota; Viridiplantae; Streptophyta; Magnoliopsida; Malpighiales; Salicaceae. The record is from RNAcentral.